GAUGAACGCUGGCGGCGUGCCUAAUACAUGCAAGUCGAGCGAACGGACGAGGAGCUUGCUCUUCUGACGUUAGCGGCGGACGGGUGAGUAACACGUGGAUAACCUACCUAUAAGACUGGGAUAACUUCGGGAAACCGGAGCUAAUACCGGAUAAUAUAUUGAACCGCAUGGUUCAAUAGUGAAAGACGGUUUUGCUGUCACUUAUAGAUGGAUCCGCGCCGCAUUAGCUAGUUGGUAAGGUAACGGCUUACCAAGGCAACGAUGCGUAGCCGACCUGAGAGGGUGAUCAGCCACACUGGAACUGAGACACGGUACAGACUCCUACGGGAGGCAGCAGUAGGGAAUCUUCCGCAAUGGGCGAAAGCCUGACGGAGCAACGCCGCGUGAGUGAUGAAGGUCUUCGGAUCGUAAAACUCUGUUAUUAGGGAAGAACAAAUGUGUAAGUAGCUAUGCACAUCUUGACGGUACCUAAUCAGAAAGCCACGGCUAACUACGUG
RNAcentral lists this ribosomal RNA (497 nucleotides) under uncultured bacterium. Its description in RNAcentral is "partial 16S ribosomal RNA". It matches the Rfam family "Bacterial small subunit ribosomal RNA", at positions 28 to 507 of the family's 1533-position model. The record is from RNAcentral.